GAUGAACGCUGGCGGCGUGCCUAAUACAUGCAAGUCUUGCGCACAGACGAGGAUCUUGCUCCUCGGAAGUUAGCGGCGGACGGGUGAGUAAAACGUGGAUAACCUACCGAUAAGACUGACAUAACUUCGGGAAACCGGAGCUAAUACCGGGUAAUAUAUUCAACCGCAUGGUUCAAUAAUGAAAGACGGUUUUGCUGUCACUUGUAGAUGGAUCCGGUCCUCAUUAGGUAGUUGGUAAGGUAACGGCUGACAAGGGGAACGAUGCGUAGCCGACAAGAGAGUGUGAGCGGCCACGCCGGAACUGAGGCACGGUCAAGAGUCCUACGGGAUGCAGCAGUAGCUAAUCUGCCAGGCUGGGCGAAAGAAUGACGGAGCAACGCCGCGUCAGUGAUGCAGGUCUUCUGAUCGUAAGACUCUGUUAUUAGGGAAGAACAAUUGUGUAAGUAACUAUGCACGAAUUGACGGUACCUACUCAGAAAGCCACGGCUAACUACGUG
RNAcentral lists this ribosomal RNA (497 nucleotides) under uncultured bacterium. Its description in RNAcentral is "partial 16S ribosomal RNA". It matches the Rfam family "Bacterial small subunit ribosomal RNA", at positions 28 to 507 of the family's 1533-position model. The record is from RNAcentral.